RNAcentral lists this ribosomal RNA (253 nucleotides) under uncultured bacterium. RNAcentral describes it as "partial 16S ribosomal RNA". It matches the Rfam family "Bacterial small subunit ribosomal RNA", at positions 524 to 776 of the family's 1533-position model. The record is from RNAcentral.
UACAUGGGGUGCAAACGUUGCUCGGAAUUAUUGGGCGUAAAGCGCGCGUAGGCGGUUAUCUAAGUCGGAUGUGAAAGCCCUCGGCUUAACUGAGGAAGUGCACCCGAAACUGGAUAGCUAGAGUACGAAAGAGGGUCGCGGAAUUCCCGGUGUAGAGGUGAAAUUCGUAGAUAUCGGGAGGAACACCGGUGGCGAAGGCGGGUCUCUGGGCAAUUCCUGACGCUGAGGCGCGAAAGCGUGGGGAGCAAACGGG